RNAcentral lists this ribosomal RNA (467 nucleotides) under uncultured bacterium. RNAcentral's name for it is "partial 16S ribosomal RNA". It matches the Rfam family "Bacterial small subunit ribosomal RNA", at positions 28 to 506 of the family's 1533-position model. The record is from RNAcentral.
GACGAACGCUGGCGGCGUGCUUAACACAUGCAAGUCGAACGGAAAGGCCCUGCUUUUGUGGGGUGCUCGAGUGGCGAACGGGUGAGUAACACGUGAGUAACCUGCCCUUGACUUUGGGAUAACUUCAGGAAACUGGGGCUAAUACCGGAUAGGAGCUCCUGCUGCAUGGUGGGGGUUGGAAAGUUUCGGCGGUUGGGGAUGGACUCGCGGCUUAUCAGCUUGUUGGUGGGGUAGUGGCUUACCAAGGCUUUGACGGGUAGCCGGCCUGAGAGGGUGACCGGCCACAUUGGGAGUGAGAUACGGCCCAGACUCCUACGGGAGGCAGCAGUGGGGAAGAUUGCACAAUGGGCGGAAGCCUGAUGCAGCAACGCCGCGUGCGGGAUGACGGCAUUCGGGUUGUAAACCGCUUUCGCUUGUGACGAAGCGUGAGUGACGGUAAUGGGUAAAGAAGCACCGGCUAACUACGU